AACGAACGCUGGCGGCAGGCUUAACACAUGCAAGUCGAACGCACCGCAAGGUGAGUGGCAGACGGGUGAGUAACGCGUGGGAACGUGCCCUUCAGUUCGGGAUAACCCAGGGAAACUUGGGCUAAUACCGGAUACGUGCGAGAGCAGAAAGAUUUAUCGCUGAAGGAUCGGCCCGCGUCUGAUUAGCUAGUUGGUGGGGU
RNAcentral lists this ribosomal RNA (200 nucleotides) under uncultured bacterium. Its description in RNAcentral is "partial 16S ribosomal RNA". It matches the Rfam family "Bacterial small subunit ribosomal RNA", at positions 29 to 258 of the family's 1533-position model. The record is from RNAcentral.